Herpailurus yagouaroundi (jaguarundi) is the source of this 4419-nucleotide long non-coding RNA. RefSeq lists it as uncharacterized. The record is from RefSeq and is a predicted model, not a curated record. NCBI's taxonomy places the organism in Eukaryota, Metazoa, Chordata, Mammalia, Carnivora, Felidae. The transcript has 4 exons.
AACCGACUGAGCCAUCCAAGUGCCCGUGCCUCUAAUUUUACAAUUGAGGAAACUGAGGCCCAGAGAAAGGAAGUAACCUGGCCAACUCGAGGGAACGGGCAGAGACAAGGAGUAUAUUGGGGGAGGAGGCACACAGGUCCCAUCCCCAGCCUAGCACAGAGCCCUCUGGAACAGACCCCCCCAACAUCAGGGAGCCAGGGGGCCGGGCCUGGGGACCCUGUGGCUUCUGCCUGGGUCGGUUGUGUCUGUGGCCUCUCCAGGGGCUGGCCGGGAACGGGGAGCAUGGGCGCCCCCGCCGAGGCCUCAGAGUCCUGGUGAAUGGCCCAGACAGCCAGGAGCCAGGGCUGAGGCAGCGGUAGGCCAGCACCGGUCACCAUGGGGGCUGAACAUCCAGGCGUGGAGUUUGCUCUCUGCCCAAACCCUGUGUCCUACUUAAUGACAAACCUCUAAGACCAGGCAGUGGGGUGAAACAGAGGAGUGUCUUUAGCAGAGUCAGGCUGGGGUCCUCUCAGGUUCUAGCUGACCCUUUCCUAUUCCAGGCCUGCUCCUUGAUGUCCGGGUGGCACUAGCUGGGACCAAAUGACACGCCCAGAAUCUGAUUGCCUCAAUAGACUGGUCGGACUUCAAGAACUUCACUCUUUCCGGAGGCCGUCCUGGGGCGGGACUGAGACAGACCUUGAACCCCCAGCCCUCGACACGGCGGAGUGGAGCCCCAGGGGGAGACAGCCCUCAUCCUAGCCUACUGGGGCCUCUGGAGCCACCUUCAGUCAGCCCUUUCUGAGGACCUGCAUUACCGAGGAGCCCCAUCACCCCUGGGACCGUCUCAGCGUUCGGAAUGGAGUCCUCUCGGGUUUUGCCACGGUUUGGAAAGAGCAUUCGCUCCACAGGGCCGUGGGGGCCUGAAGAGUUGAGGUAGAGUUGCAGAAAGUGGGGAGAGCCCAGGUAGAGAGCCUGUCUCCCUCACCCCAGGCUUCCCACACUCACCUCCUCUGGGAAGCCUUCCCGGAUGCCCCUGUAUUCUCCGAACUUCCCUGGCAUCUUCCAUGGAGACUUCCUCCCUGCCGCCUCUGCUCGUCUGGGGCCCGACCACACGCAGUGCAGGGAUGAGGAACACUGGUCUGCUUCUAUGGGGUUCCGGCCCCACUGGGAAGGGAGCCUUGGACGUCAGGAACAGCGGAGAAAGGACCAGUGUGUAAAUCAAGCUGCUGUUUUCCAGGCUCUACUAAAGCGGGUUACACACAUUCUCCAUGUAACCCUCGUGUAGCCUUCUAAAACUGCCACGAUUAUCAUUAUGUUAUAGAUGAGGACGCUGAGACACACAGACGUUAAGCUGCUGAGGUCGCACGGGCAGCACAUGCCAGAGCCCUACUUUGAGCCCCAAAGGGCCACCUGUCAGAGCCAUCAUCCACGUGUGUGGCUCAGGGGUGGAGGCAGGCGAGGGGUGGCUUCCUGGAGAAGUGGGGGGCAUGCGGGCAGGGACAGGAGGGUGGGUGUGGACUAACCCUUAGUUCCCGCGUUUGAGGGUGUGAUUGCAGGCUAAGGGUUUGGGGCAGAAUUAUGGCCCCCCAAAUGUCCACGUCCUGACCCAACCUGUGAAUACGUUAACUCCCACGUCAAAAGGGACUUGGCCAAUUUGGCCAAGUUAAGGAUCUCAAGAUCAUCCCGGAUUAUCCGGGUGGUCCCAUGUGGUCCCAAGGGUCCUUAUAGGAGGGAGGCAGGAGGGUCUGAGUGAGGGGAGAUGUGACAAGGGACAAAAGUCAGAGAGAGAGCGGAAGCCGUCACACCACCGAUGGAGGAGAGGCCAUGCACCGAGGAGCCCGAGUGGCUUCCGGGGAAGCUGGGAAAGGCAAGGAAAGGGGUUCCCUCUGGAGCCUCCAGGCGGAACGCAGCUCGGCCAACGCCUUGACUUUCGCCCCGCGGGCCCGCUCUGGACUGCUGGCCUCCAGCGCUGGAAGAGAACACGUGUGUGUUCCAACGGCAGCGGCCGGAGCAGACACGGGGCUCGGGACAGCACCGCCCUUCAGAAAGCCAGAUUCAGUCCUACCUUCCGUCUUCCGGGCCCUGUGAUGGGUCUCGGGGACACAGUGGCCAGGGGGACACCGCCCCGGGCCUGCUGAACUAGGGGCCCCUCGAGCCGAGCAGGUUAUCAGUAAGUGGCAGCCGACAGAGCCCGUUCCCAGGCUGCACGCAGGGCCUCUGUUUAUCGGAAAGGGGCUUAUCUGGAUGGUGGGGCCGGGCUCUGCAGGGGUGAGGCGGUGCCCACUGCUGCCCACACGCCCCGCGGGGGGUCCUCACCCCGCCGAGUGGGGGUCUCCACGGGCCUGCGGGGAGGCAUGAGGGGUCAGCCCCGGCGCCGACACACAAGUGCCCGAACACCGCCCGGCACGUCCGCGGCUACACUGGCCCCGAACUGGAAAUGACCCGCAGGCCAUCCGCGGGGCGGCUCGGGGGCCGCCUUCUCGCUCGGUGGGGCACUAGAACGGCCCCGAAAACAUCUGCUAAUUCUCAUCAGGCUCACACCGAGCCAGAGAGCACCUCUUGCACGACCCCGCUCAUGCAGUGUUCACAAGGAGGAAACACCAAUCUGCGUGUUGGACGUCAGGGGGGGCUGCCCGGCCGGGCGUGACUCGGGGCGCUGGGCUUCGGGAGAACUGGUGAUAGUCCGCUGAGCGGUGUACUCACGGACAGUGUCUUUUCUGAGCGCGCGUUAUAUUGCGAUGCUCAUGCAAGAAAAAGGAAAAGAAAAGAAACACGUAGAAAAGCAAAGUAAGAAAAUAAAAAUCACCCAUAACUUCAUCCUCUGGAGACAGGAGCUGUGCACGCCCUUCAGAUUUAGGUGCCUCGUGACCACAUAUAUUUUAUCAGUUAGACUCUUUGGUGGCCGGUGGCAGAAGCUGACUCCGGCUAUCUGUACUAACUAAAGCACACUUUGCUGGAUCGGGAAAAUUGCCAGACUGCCACAGCUUCACACAGUGCACAUUUAUUUCCUGCUGAGAGGCCCCACACAGCUGUUCCAGCAGGUGGAGGGUGUGGGGGCCGCCUGGUUUCACUCAGCCACCCAGACGCCCAGGCCGAAGGUGGUUCUGGGUCUCGGGUCCCCCGUCCUCACGCAGCCACGGACGGAGGAAGACAGCUGGUGCAGGAGGGGUCUCCGGGCGUGGCGUCCAGACCGUCCCUUUGCUCUCCGUUAGCCAAAUUCGGACCCGUGGCCACCUGCCAGGAGGCUGAGGCUCCAGCUUUGAGGGCCAGCGUCCCUCAAGGUGCCCUGGGAGCCACGGAGCGGGAGGUGGUAAAAGGGCAGCCGUCUGUAGCCAGGGACACCGGCCACUGCAGCUGCCAGGGACCCUUCCCAGGCUCUGGGCCCCUCCCGCAGGGUUCAGCGUCUCAGACGAGAGCACUGGCGGUCAAGCCCGAAUCCUACCACGUCCCUGGCCUUCCAGUAACCCUGGUGCAGGGGGGAAGGCUCUGCCCUCUGCCGGGGUCGCCCCACUCUCUCUCCAGGGAGAGACCACUCUCUGAAGGGCUACUGGGACAGGAGAUCGGUGCUGGACACUCAAAUAACCGUCUUUCAUAUUGUGCACUUCCCUGCGCUGUGUUGCUGGGCCCGGACCCUGUCCUUUGGCCGGUCCCACUCCCUGGGCCUCCCCCCACCAUCCCAGAGGCCACAGCCGCCCCAGGGUUUCUACAGGAUGGAGGGACGUCAAGGCCAAUCCGGUCAGUGGAACUGCCCAGAGGCCUCAUGGAAGGUAGCCACAUGGAGUCCAAGGUGGCUCAGCUUGGGCCACGUGUCACCAAAGUUUCCGUGUUACGCCCCCCUGUAAACAAGAAGACGUCCCCAGUCCUCCCGUUGCCACAACGGUGACCAGCCCACAGAAAGCAGCGGGAGGGGAAGGGAAGGAGGGCCACAAAGGUAGAAUUCACCUCUCGUUCCCAGUCUGGAGGGGAGUUGUCUUUGGGGGACCUCCCUCUGUGAGUUCCUGGGUCCCUGACAUACCCCAGUUGGCAUUUGAAAAAAUAAGCACAUAACGAGAUGCUCGACACGGUUGGUCCUCAGGGAAACGCCGACUGAAGCCUUGAGCCGUGACUCCCUUCACGAGAUGUGACUCCAAUGGACAAGACCGGUGACAGCUGGUGUCGGGGAGGCCGCAGAGCCGCUGGAACUCCCGCACGCUCAUGGCGGGGCUGUGCGAUGGCCGCUGAACAAUUAUUCCGGGGGAGCCGGGAACAAUGGCACGUCCCUCAUCAGGAUCAGGGACGAACAAACUGCCGUCUGCUCGCACGACAGAACACGUCUCGUCAACGCAAAGGAACCACUGCCCCCCCCACAGCCACGGACAGACCUCAGAAACACGGUGAGCAAAAGCAGCCGGGCCGAAGGGACGCAUUCGCGGGGGUCCACCAGAUGUGGGUUCAAGGCAG